This 408-nucleotide ribosomal RNA is filed under the name uncultured bacterium. RNAcentral describes it as "partial 16S ribosomal RNA". It matches the Rfam family "Bacterial small subunit ribosomal RNA", at positions 28 to 526 of the family's 1533-position model. The record is from RNAcentral.
GACGAACGCUGGCGGCGUGCUGAACACAUGCAAGUCGAACGAAGUGGCGAACGGGUGAGUAACGCGUAAUAAACCUGCCCUUAAGAGGGGGACAACAGUUGGAAACGACUGCUAAUACCGCAUACUGAAGGAGGGGAUGGCGUCGGAUUGGCUAGUUGGAGGGGUAACGGCCCCCCAAGGCGAUGAUCAGUAGCCGGUCUGAGAGGUUGAACGGCCCCAUUGGGACUUAGCCACGGCCCAGACUCCUACGUGAGGCAGCAGUGGGGAAUCUUCCGCAAUGGACGCAAGUCUGACGGAGCCACGCCGCGUUCUUGAUGACGGCCUUCGGGUUGUAAAGCUCUGUUAAUCGGGACGCGGUACCGGAAUAGAAAGCCACGGCUAACUACGUGCCAGCAGCCGCGGUAAUAC